AAUAAUAAUUCAUAGAUGAGUUACGUAGAGAAUGAAAUCUAUUAUAAUCUAUGAAUUUAAAAGUCCAUCAUCAUUAUUUUAUCCCUGUAACAUCAAUCAAUAUUCAUCUUGAAUCAAAUAUUCAUCUUUGCACUACGGGCCAAAGAUAUUCAUCAGAAAAUAAUUAAUCUUUGCACUACAGGCCAAAGAUAUUCAGUAAAAUCAUCAUUUAGGACUGAGGAUGAUGAAAAAUAUUUUAAAGAAAACGAAUCCAGUGAAACAAAAAAACAAAUAUUAAGGAUUCGUACUUUAAACAAUCCGAGUUCAAAAAUACUUCAUAAAUAAUCAUAGUGGAGCAAAAUUCAAG
Molecule: long non-coding RNA, 346 nt
Filed under: Panax ginseng (ginseng)
Lineage: Eukaryota; Viridiplantae; Streptophyta; Magnoliopsida; Apiales; Araliaceae
Description: long non-coding RNA (PGIN_LNC014304)
Source: RNAcentral